GCGACCCCAGGUCAGGCGGACUCCCG
This 26-nucleotide ribosomal RNA is filed under the name Arrhenatherum album var. erianthum. Its description in RNAcentral is "partial 26S ribosomal RNA". The record is from RNAcentral. RNAcentral also lists the same sequence under 2 other names. Lineage: Eukaryota; Viridiplantae; Streptophyta; Magnoliopsida; Poales; Poaceae.